This is a non-coding RNA of Phrynosoma platyrhinos (Desert horned lizard), 71 nucleotides long. Lineage: Eukaryota; Metazoa; Chordata; Lepidosauria; Squamata; Phrynosomatidae. The record is from the annotation of a GenBank genome assembly.
GCUUGUGUGGUGUAGUGGUUUGAUGUUGGAUUAUGACACUGAAGAAAAGAGUUCAAUUCCCUGCUCAGCCA